RNAcentral lists this transfer RNA (59 nucleotides) under Mileewa ussurica. RNAcentral's name for it is "tRNA-Ala". The record is from RNAcentral. Lineage: Eukaryota; Metazoa; Arthropoda; Insecta; Hemiptera; Cicadellidae. RNAcentral also lists the same sequence under 1 other name.
AGGAUUAUAUUUAAUUAUAAUAUUUGAUUUGCAAUCAAAAGGUACUCAUGUUAAUCUUG